GGAGAGUUGGCAGAGCGGUAAUGCAGCGGAUUGCUAAUCCGUCACGGUGUUAAAGCCGUGCACAGGUUCGAGUCCUGUACUCUCCGCCA
RNAcentral lists this transfer RNA (89 nucleotides) under Alphaproteobacteria bacterium. Its description in RNAcentral is "tRNA-Ser". It matches the Rfam family "tRNA". From Rfam's summary of the family: Transfer RNA (tRNA) molecules are approximately 80 nucleotides in length. Lineage: Bacteria; Pseudomonadati; Pseudomonadota; Alphaproteobacteria. The record is from RNAcentral.